Molecule: unclassified non-coding RNA, 247 nt
Filed under: Hevea brasiliensis (rubber tree)
Lineage: Eukaryota; Viridiplantae; Streptophyta; Magnoliopsida; Malpighiales; Euphorbiaceae
Source: RNAcentral
UGAUCCUCACUUGAAGCUUUGAUUAUUGAUGCUAAAUUGUGCUUUGUUGUUGUUGGCUUUGGCUGCAAUUAGGGAGAAUGGAUAUUGUAAUUAAGGAGGACAAUUAACUAAUUAAUUAAUGUAAUAAGAUUUGUAAUUAUGCUAGAUUAUUAUGUUUUUGAGGUGCAGAAAUCAAUUAGUUAAUUGUCUGGUUUAUUUUUCUGAUGAUAUAGCUUCAAGAGCUCGUUUAUUUUUCAUGAGCCCAACC